Cinara cedri is the source of this 1687-nucleotide non-coding RNA. Lineage: Eukaryota; Metazoa; Arthropoda; Insecta; Hemiptera; Aphididae. The record is from the annotation of a GenBank genome assembly.
AUGUAUACACUUGACUAACAUUAAAAACAGUAAAAGUAUUAUCAUUUAAGGCAACUAAAUUGUAUCAAUCCUUUUCUAUCAGUUUUAUACAGCUUUGUCUAUUCUAUUUUUGAAUAUGACUUAAAUUUUAAGGUAGGUACCCUUACAAAGUGUACAAUAUUUGUAAACUGAAGCACGUAUAUCGUAACUCUUUUGCUAUUCUAAGUUUAUCCUAGGCCCUGACAAUGACUAUAAUCUAUUCCAAAUAAAUUUGCACAAAUUUACAAAAAACCAUUUGCAUGAGUACAUGACCAUUGUCAUUUGCUGCCAACAGUGAGUGCUAUUGUAAUAUGAUGAUGGUCAACUACAGCGCUUACUGUUUGCAACAAAAUGAAUGUGAAAGCGAUCCCAUUUUUGAAAUGUGAGCAAACUUAUUUGGAAUAGAGUAUAAAUACUUCAAUUGCAAACCAUUUGGAUUACAGUUCACUGGUAGAACAUAGAAAACAAAUCUAAUACUUUUAAAGAAAGAAUAAAACGAUUCUAUAUUAGACUCACUAACAUUACAUACUGGGAUAUAUUUUUUUGUUCUCCACAAAAAAGUUGCAUCUUUUUUUUAGUUCUUAAUUUAGACAUCAACUAUGCGUUUAAUAACCAAUAACCCUCUCUGAUAUGAACCUCGCUAAUAAGAACUUCUCAGAACCCAAAUAUUGUUUAUAAAAUAUUAUAUUUCAUGCAUCUUUUUACGUAAUAAAUAUUUGGGUCCAACCCGUUAUAUAACUAAAACUAAUAUAAAAUAAAAUAAUGCAUUGGUAAUUUAUACCAAAUCCUACUUUAAUUAUAGAUUCGUAAUAAUUAAUAAUACAAACUAAUAUUUGAUUCUAUAGUUAAACUAAAUUCAACUAUAUCAGCCCUGUAAGUAUUUGUGUAAAACAAUAUUCAUGCACUUGUGUGUAUGAACGGGUAUAGAUCAUUGCUCAAACAAAAUUUAUUUUAAAAUAAUAUCUAAUUUACUGUUAAUGUUUUCCUUUACAAUUAACCUAAACAAUUAAAAUUUAAAAUUCAUACUUAGUGCAUCCCUCAAUAUAAAAAUUAAUUAUAUUUGUUUAGAUUUCAGUUUAAAUUGAAGAAAUUAUAAAGGUACCUCCUCGGAUAGCUCACAAGGUAGGUAAUAUCAAUAGGUAAUAAACGUUAUCUUUAAUAGUUUAAUACUUUAAUCUGUUGAUGGACAGCACCUAACAAUUAGUUUUUAAUGCAUCUCAUUAUUAUAUAGUCAACAUUAACAUGACAAUAGAUAUAUAGCUUAGUAGUAAUCUACAAAAACAUUUGAAAAAAAAAAAACUCAACCUCAACUCAAAACUAUUAAGUCCUACCUAAUAAUAAUAAUUACCUAUGCAAUUUAAGUAUAGUUUUCAAUAAGCAGGGUUUACAGUCAAUAAAAUAUAUUUGAGUACCUAGAACGAAAAUGGUUUAAAGUCAAAGGUUUUACUUGAUGAAACUAUUAAAUUCAACUUAGUUCAAACUUAGAACAGUUGAAACCUGUUAAUUAAACAAAAUUGUAUUCAUACAUACAUAUAUAUAAGUUCUUAACAGACUCUUUGCACUUCAAUACAUAAGUUAUAACUUAUAAGUAUCGGUAGGUAGAUACUAUUUUCUACUAUUCUUACUCUUUGAUAUCUAAACAUACCUACAUAAUUUUUGUAUAAAUACG